AUGCCUCAAUUCAAGCCCUGCGAGAAGACAGAACUUGAGUGCAUAUUUUCUGACCAUGGCAGAGAUCAUGAGACGGGAUCCUUUGUGAAGACUAAACAUUGGCAACUGUUUUCUUUACAACUUACCCGCACAUUUCAGUCUAACAAAUUUAUACUGAAAAUUAAUUUGACAGUGCAGUGACAUCAAGUUCCACCUGCCAUCAUUUGCUGUGUGAGAACACCACUUCUCAUAUUAAAACUUGUAAAUGCAGGAUCUAUAGAUUAAGUGUGGACUAUUCAGGCUUUGUGCCACCUCAGAUGUUGAUGGAGAUGGGUGGGAAGGAAAUGAGAAAGAUCAUUCAUUUCCCAGCCAUAACACACCACACAGAUCAUACAUUAACACUUCUGGAUCAUUAAGUUCAAAUAUGGUAACCGGAUUUAAUAUAACGACUGUUUUGAUUAGUUGUUCCUGUUUUUAGUGUCAAUUACACAUGGGGAAAUUAAUAUUAUGCUUUAAAAUGUGAUAUUAUGGUGUAAUGGUGAAUUUAAUGUUUAUAUUAGUUGCUGAGUGAGAUAUGUAAUAAAUAUGAAUGAAUGAUUUAAAACUAAAAUGAUGUUAAAGAGAUUACAUUAGGAAACUUACAUUUCCUUAUGCUGAUUUGGUGCCCAUGAAACCACUGAAAAUCAAUGAGAUGCUUAAUAUAAUAUUUUAUGGAUGUGAUAUUUUCUUUAGGAUUCUUUGACGAAGAGUGUUAAAAAAUAUGUCCAUGUAAAAGUAUUUACUGUGACUUUUGAAUAAUUUAACGCAACUUUGCUGAAUAAAAUUAAACAAUUUAAUGCAACCUUGCUGAGAAUUAAUUCCUUCAAAAAACUGACUCCAACUUGUGUAAUGAACAGCAUUUAGGGGAUGCUUUUAUCAAAAAAACAUUUGUUUUUUACGUCAUUUGUACUAGCGACGUCAGUGUCUCAAAUCUAGUAAGCUAGUAAGCAACGACCUAGAAACCACAAGUAGACCCUAGGAACUGCAUAGCAAUGUGCUUAUCAGCUGCGUAGCAACAGCCUAGCAUCAUGGUAGCAAAUUUUGCAUGGUUAAACACCACUGAAAAAAAAUAAUAUGGUAAAACUCAGAUUCAUUUUA
This is a long non-coding RNA of Cyprinus carpio carpio, 1116 nucleotides long. Lineage: Eukaryota; Metazoa; Chordata; Actinopteri; Cypriniformes; Cyprinidae. The record is from Ensembl.